CUCCCAACCCAUGAAUAGUUCAUUAGUUUAAAGCAUACUUGAUUGAUGGUGUCAGACGAAACCAUCUAUUCAAACCUACGAACGAUAAAAAAAAUAAUAAAAACUGCAAUUUGCAAUCUGCAAGCAAAGCAAUUCAGUAAUAGACAUUUCUUCAUAAAUAUAGCCAACUUUAUGUACCUUGGUUUUAAACCUAUUUCAGCAUUUGUCAAGAAUAGUAUAUAUCAUUAACUACAGACCUACA
Molecule: long non-coding RNA, 241 nt
Filed under: Elaeis guineensis (African oil palm)
Lineage: Eukaryota; Viridiplantae; Streptophyta; Magnoliopsida; Arecales; Arecaceae
Description: long non-coding RNA (EGUI_LNC073039)
Source: RNAcentral